Molecule: long non-coding RNA, 333 nt
Organism: Microplitis mediator
Lineage: Eukaryota; Metazoa; Arthropoda; Insecta; Hymenoptera; Braconidae
Exons: 3
Source: RefSeq, a predicted model, not a curated record
GUUACCGUGGUUUCAAUCUAUCAUAAUAUGAUAUUAUCUCACGUAUUAUAAAUUUUAUUUAUAAGACUAGUGGCAAUUUCAUUGAGUUGACAUGAAGUACCUGAUGCUUGUUUUUAUGGUCUGCGUGUUUUUGACGAGCAUCGACGCGGACUUAUGGAAGCAGAGUAAAAAAAAUAAAAUUAACCGAAGGCAAGAUGAUGACGAUUUGGGGAGAGUGAGAAUCAAAGUGUUCCGCGGACCUGAUGACGAAGUUGAUGGAAAUCAAUUUGCGCAUUGAGGAUAUUGGGUUUCGCAGCCAAGAGAUGAUGAAAUCCGCUGAAGAUUUAGUCCAAG